AACGAACGCUGGCGGCAUGCCUAACACAUGCAAGUCGAACGAUACCUUCGGGUCUAGUUGCGCACGUGUGCGUAACGCGUGGUAACCUGCCUUUAGGUUCGGAAUCCCUCAGAUAAAUUUGAGCUAAUACCGGAUGAUGUCUUCGCACCAAAGAUUUAUCGCCUUUAGAUGGGCCCGCGUUUGAUUCGCUGGUUGGUGGUGUAAAGGCCUACCAAGGAGACGAUCCAUAGCUGGUCUGAGAGGAUGAUCAGCCACACUGGGAAUGAGACACGGCCUAGAAUCGUACGGGAGGGAGCAGUGGGGAAUAUUAGACAAUGGGCGAAAGAGUGAUAAAGCAAUGCGGCGGGAGAGAUGAAGGCCUUAGGGUUGUAAAGCUGUUUUACACGAGACGAGAAUGACAGUAGCGGGAGAAUAAGCUCCGGCUAACUACGUG
RNAcentral lists this ribosomal RNA (433 nucleotides) under uncultured bacterium. RNAcentral describes it as "partial 16S ribosomal RNA". It matches the Rfam family "Bacterial small subunit ribosomal RNA", at positions 29 to 507 of the family's 1533-position model. The record is from RNAcentral.